UNGGAAUCACUGGGCGUAAAGGACGCGUAGGCGGAUUAUCAAGUCUCUUGUGAAAUCCUAUGGCUUANCCAUAGAACUGCUUGGGAAACUGAUAAUCUAGAGUGAGGGAGAGGCAGAUGGAAUUGGUGGUGUAGGGGUAAAAUCCGUAGAGAUCACCAGGAAUACCCCNUUGCGAAGGCGAUCUGCUGGAACUCAACUGACGCUAAUGCGUGAAAGCGUGGGGAGCAANCAGGAUUAGAUACCCUGGUAGUCCACGCCCUAAACGACGUACACUAGUUGUUGCUAAGCUAGUCUUGGCAGUAAUGCACCUAACGGAUUAAGUAUACCGCCUGGGGAGUACGGUCGCAAGAUUAAAACUCAAAGGAAUAGACGGGGACCCGCACAAGCGGUGGAGCAUGUGGUUUAAUUCGAAGAUACGCGAAGAACCUUACCCGGACUUGAUAUCUAACAAAUCAUCUAGAGAUAGAAGAGUGUCUGCUUGCAGAAAUGUUAAGACAGGUGCUGCACGGCUGUCGUCAGCUCGUGUCGUGAGAUGUUGGGUUAAGUCCCGCAACGAGCGCAACCCACGUCAUUAGUUGCUAACAGUUCGGCUGAGCACUCUAAUGAGACUGCCUUCGUAAGGAGGAGGAAGGUGUGGACGACGUCAAGUCAUCAUGGCCCUUAUGUCCGGGGCGACACACGUGCUACAAUGGCAUAUACAAUGAGAAGCAAUAUCGCGAGAUGGAGCAAAUCUAUAAAAUAUGUCCCAGUUCGGAUUGGAGUCUGCAACUCGACUCCAUGAAGCCGGAAUCGCUAGUAAUCGUAGAUCAGCCAUGCUACGGUGAAUACGUUCCCGGGUCUUGUACUCACCGCCCGUCACACCAUGGGAGUUGAUNUCACUCGAAGCCGGAAUACUAAAUUAGUUA
RNAcentral lists this ribosomal RNA (905 nucleotides) under uncultured bacterium. Its description in RNAcentral is "bacterial SSU rRNA". It matches the Rfam family "Bacterial small subunit ribosomal RNA", at positions 545 to 1447 of the family's 1533-position model. The record is from RNAcentral.